RNAcentral lists this unclassified non-coding RNA (148 nucleotides) under uncultured Lophiostoma. Its description in RNAcentral is "sequence contains ITS1". Lineage: Eukaryota; Fungi; Ascomycota; Dothideomycetes; Pleosporales; Lophiostomataceae. The record is from RNAcentral.
UUGUAGGGACUUCGGUCCUUCCAAGAUGCAACCCUUGCCUUUUUCUAGCGUCUCUCCGUUUCCUCGGCAGCUCCGCCUGCCAGCGAGGACCCCCGAAAACCUUUUGCAAUCUCCGUACAAACUUCUGAAAAUACAACAAAAAACGUUA